Engraulis encrasicolus (European anchovy) is the source of this 208-nucleotide long non-coding RNA. RefSeq lists it as uncharacterized. NCBI's taxonomy places the organism in Eukaryota, Metazoa, Chordata, Actinopteri, Clupeiformes, Engraulidae. The transcript is spliced from 3 exons. The record is from RefSeq and is a predicted model, not a curated record.
CAGGGAGUAAAGGACAAUGUCCCCACAAAAGGAGGUGUCCCUUCGGGCCAACUCCAGUUUUCUCCACAGGGAGUAAAGGACAAUAUCCCCACAAAAGGAGUUGUCCCUCCUCCAGACCAACUCCAGUUUACCAAAGUGUCUCCAGACUCAGUGAAGUUACGAUGGCCUCCACCACAGGGCGCUCCUGGUCCACACAGGUACACAGUUA